RNAcentral lists this long non-coding RNA (340 nucleotides) under Bos taurus (domestic cattle). RNAcentral's name for it is "long non-coding RNA NONBTAT001639". The record is from RNAcentral. Lineage: Eukaryota; Metazoa; Chordata; Mammalia; Artiodactyla; Bovidae.
ACUAUACACUCCUUUUGUUGGCUUUUUAAGUGAAACCAAAUUAUAAAAUAAUACAGUUAAACCAUAUCUCAGGUGAAAAUGUGUGUGUACCUGUGUUUUUGUUUAGAUAAAUGAUUUUACUUAUCUUCAAAGUGAUAACUGUUUAUAGUGCAUAUAAGCAUAACUUGAGAGAUAAAUGUGUAACAGUUUGGCAGUCACUUGAUACUGGUUUAAUGUAAAGACUGUUAACCUGCAGACUAAAUCAUUGUCAUGGGAAUUCCCUCCAAUCUCUGUGGCAUCUUUGGUCAAGGAAUACUUGCUGCUUUCAAUUUUUUAAAAUCGAAGUGUAGUAGGUAUGUAG